CGGGGAUAUAAAUAUAAGACGAGAAGACCCCAUGGAGCUUUAAACCUGACAACACCCAUUUAUCUUUUACCCUAGUAUUCAUUAGGCCCUGUUUGUUUGGUUUUAGGUUGGGGUGACCACGGAGUAUAAAAUAACCUCCAAGAAAAAUGGACCAACAAUCCUUAUCAAAGAACUACAAUUCUAUGAAUUAAUAAAUUAAUUUUUAAUGACCCGAUAUUUAUUCGAUCAACGAACCAAGUUACCCUGGGGAUAACAGCGCAAUCCACUUUAAGAGCCCAUAUCGACAAGUGGGUUUACGACCUCGAUGUUGGAUCAGGGUAUCCUAGUGGUGCAGCAGCUACUAACGGUUCGUUUGUUCAACGAUUAAAACCCU
This 373-nucleotide ribosomal RNA is filed under the name Boophis luteus. RNAcentral describes it as "partial 16S ribosomal RNA". It matches the Rfam family "Bacterial large subunit ribosomal RNA", at positions 2076 to 2597 of the family's 2925-position model. The record is from RNAcentral. Lineage: Eukaryota; Metazoa; Chordata; Amphibia; Anura; Mantellidae.